This is a non-coding RNA of Neofelis nebulosa (Clouded leopard), 623 nucleotides long. Lineage: Eukaryota; Metazoa; Chordata; Mammalia; Carnivora; Felidae. The record is from the annotation of a RefSeq genome assembly.
AUGCAGGUGAAGGCCCUGGGUGUCAGGGACCCUCCUCACAAUGUGAAGGUCCAGUGCAGAGCCAGCACCCGUGACAAGGAGGCUGGGCUUGGGCCUCCCAUGCAGCUGCAGGCUGUGUCACAGUGUAUUCUGUUCGGCGGAGGGACCCAUCUGACCGUCCUCGGUCAGCCCAAGUCGGCCCCCUCGGUCACACUCUUCCCACCCUCCAAUGAGGAGCUCAGUGCCAACAAGGCCACCCUGGUGUGCCUCAUCAGUGACUUCUACCCCAGUGGCUUGACGGUGGCCUGGAAGGCAGACGGCACCCCCGUCACCCAGGGCGUGGAGACCACCAAGCCCUCCAAACAGAGCAACAACAAGUACGCGGCCAGCAGCUACCUGAGCCUGUCAGCGGACCAGUGGAAAUCCAGAAGCAGCUACACCUGCCAGGUCACGCAUGAGGGGAGCACCGUGGAGAAGAGAGUGGUCCCUGCAGAGUGCUCUUAGGUGCCUGAGACCCACACCCACCCAAGGGGAUGUGCAGCCAUUGAGCCUCCAGGAACGAUUCCCCUUGUACCAAGACCAUUCCAGCCCUUCUCCCAGCACCCAAUCGUUGCUCAAUAAAACGUCUCUUACUCAAUCAGAAA